AUGUGUGUCGAUGGCGGAUGGCGCGGUCGCACGCAUUGGAGGUGCGGUACGACGCGUCGUCGUCGACAACAACGAGGAUGCCCGUGCCGCCAUGCUUCCGCCUUGAGGGCCUGGAGCAACUCGCCAGUCUUUCGCGAGCUGGCUUGGAGUGGCGAGUUGUUGAACAACGCGCCGGAUUGGGGCGGCAACUUACUCCGUCGGGCUUGGAGGUGGAGCAGUGAGCUGCCUCGGUCGUAUCCGGCGGGCUCGUCAGGCCACCCAGCCAGCUUUUAUGCCGGAAAACUGAUCUUCCGGCCCGUCAGAUGCCAUCGAAAGAGUGGAGAAAAUGGUGGAGGAGAUAGAGAGUGGUGGAGUGGUGCGAUUCUUGCCCGGUGUUUGGCCUUGUUUAAAUAG
RNAcentral lists this ribosomal RNA (393 nucleotides) under Triticum aestivum (bread wheat). RNAcentral's name for it is "partial small subunit ribosomal RNA". The record is from RNAcentral. Lineage: Eukaryota; Viridiplantae; Streptophyta; Magnoliopsida; Poales; Poaceae.